This is a long non-coding RNA of Arachis stenosperma, 148 nucleotides long. RefSeq lists it as uncharacterized. The transcript has 3 exons. The record is from RefSeq and is a predicted model, not a curated record. Lineage: Eukaryota; Viridiplantae; Streptophyta; Magnoliopsida; Fabales; Fabaceae.
AACUCAAACAUGCUUCUUAAAUUACCCUGUGUGCCGUUUGCUUUGAGUUAUUCAUGCCCUGUUUGUUCAAUAUCCGUAUCUGACAUGACAAAUUUGUGGUAGAAACUCGACCAAGUGGUUGCCUCAACCCCAAUGCCUCAGAUUAUAG